RNAcentral lists this long non-coding RNA (410 nucleotides) under Rattus norvegicus (Norway rat). Its description in RNAcentral is "long non-coding RNA NONRATT029694". The record is from RNAcentral. Lineage: Eukaryota; Metazoa; Chordata; Mammalia; Rodentia; Muridae.
UGCUCUGACCCUGACUGGAGACCGGGGACUCUUGGCUAAGAUACCUGUGAUGUAUCUGGAAGGGACCGGGGGCGCUUCCCAGGUGGAGGUGCCCUCCGUUGUCUUAAUGCACCACCUUUUCCUGUGAACUUGCAGCCCUCCCUGGAGAGUGAGCUUCCAUUAGCCUCGGACUGUCAGUUCCCACAACCAGCACUGCCCAACAGCGGACAGACAGCCAGGCUGCGCUUCCACCUCUCUGGGGAUUCCCGCCUUUUUCUACUGUGAAGAUGAAAUUAUUAUACUAGCAUGAAGGUCAUGGGUCUGUGUGUCUGUGAGCUGAUUCUGUCUACUGCGGGCUGAUUGUACAACUCUGCUAUGUUGCAUCCCACUAGACCAGCAGCUUACGUUCAAGGGACUGAUUAUGUGACAUG